Molecule: transfer RNA, 72 nt
Filed under: Dermacentor silvarum
Lineage: Eukaryota; Metazoa; Arthropoda; Arachnida; Ixodida; Ixodidae
Description: transfer RNA glutamic acid (anticodon UUC)
Rfam family: tRNA
About the family: Transfer RNA (tRNA) molecules are approximately 80 nucleotides in length. Their secondary structure includes four short double-helical elements and three loops (D, anti-codon, and T loops). Further hydrogen bonds mediate the characteristic L-shaped molecular structure. tRNAs have two regions of fundamental functional importance: the anti-codon, which is responsible for specific mRNA codon recognition, and the 3' end, to which the tRNAs corresponding amino acid is attached (by aminoacyl-tRNA synthetases). tRNAs cope with the degeneracy of the genetic code in two manners: having more than one tRNA (with a specific anti-codon) for a particular amino acid; and 'wobble' base-pairing, i.e. permitting non-standard base-pairing at the 3rd anti-codon position.
Source: RNAcentral
UCCGGCGUGGUCUAGUGGCUAGGAUACCUGGCUUUCACCAAAGAGGCCCGGGAUCGAUUCCCGGCGUCGGAA